Molecule: ribosomal RNA, 253 nt
Filed under: uncultured bacterium
Lineage: Bacteria
Description: partial 16S ribosomal RNA
Rfam family: Bacterial small subunit ribosomal RNA
Source: RNAcentral
UACGUAGGUGGCAAGCGUUAUCCGGAUUUACUGGGUGUAAAGGGCGUGUAGGCGGUUUUGCAAGUCAGAUGUGAAAUCUCCGGGCUUAACCCGGAAACUGCAUCUGAAACUGCAGAACUUGAGUACUGGAGAGGAUAGUGGAAUUCCUAGUGUAGCGGUAAAAUGCGUAGAUAUUAGGAGGAACACCAGUGGCGAAGGCGACUAUCUGGACAGUAACUGACGCUGAGGCGCGAAAGCGUGGGGAGCAAACAGG